AUCCAGCUGACGAGUGCCAACUAGGACGAAACGUGUGUCCUGAGU
RNAcentral lists this non-coding RNA (45 nucleotides) under Schistosoma margrebowiei. Lineage: Eukaryota; Metazoa; Platyhelminthes; Trematoda; Strigeidida; Schistosomatidae. The record is from RNAcentral.